UGUGCCAGCCGCCGCGGUAAGACGUGGGGGGCGAGCGUUGUCCGGAAUUAUUGGGCGUAAAGGGCGUGUAGGCGGCCUGUCAAGUCAGCUGUGAAAUCCCCCGGCUCAACUGGGGGUUUGCAGUUGAAACUGGUGGGCUUGAGUGCAGGAGAGGAGGGUGGAAUUCCUGGUGUAGCGGUGAAAUGCGUAGAUAUCAGGAGGAACACCGGUGGCGAAGGCGACUUUCUGGCUGACAACUGACGCUGAGGCGCGAAAGCGUGGGUAGCAAACAGGAUUAGAUACCCUGGUAGUCCUAGCCGUAAACGAUGGGUACUAGGUGUAGGUGGUUUCGAUACCAUCUGUGCCGUAGUUAACGCAUUAAGUACCCCGCCUGGGGAGUACGUGCGCAAGCAUGAAACUCAAAGGAAUUGACGGGGGCCCGCACAAGCGGUGGAGCAUGUGGUUUAAUUCGAAGCAACGCGAAGAACCUUACCAGGUCUUGACAUCACCUAGCAAGCCAUGGAAACAUGGCCCUCCUUCGGGACUGGGUGACAGGUGGUGCAUGGUUGUCGUCAGCUCGUGUCGUGAGAUGUUGGGUUAAGUCCCGCAACGAGCGCAACCCUUGCCUUUAGUUGCCAGCAUUAAGUUGGGGACUCUAAAGGGACUGCCGGCGACAAGUCGGAGGAAGGUGGGGAUGACGUCAAAUCAUCAUGCCCCUUAUGAUCUGGGCUACACACGUGCUACAAUGGGUGGUACAGAGGGAAGCGAAGCUGUGAGGCGGAGCGAAUCCCAGAAAGCCACUCUCAGUUCGGAUUGCAGGCUGCAACUCGCCUGCAUGAAGUCGGAAUCGCUAGUAAUCGCGGGUCAGCAUACCGCGGUGAAUACGUUCCCGGGCCUUGUACACACCGCCCGUCACACCACGAAAGUUCGCAACACCCGAAGCCGGUGGCCUAACCCGUAAGGGAGGGAGCCGUCGAAGGUGGGGCGGAUGAUUGGGGUGAAGUCGUAACAAGGUAGCCA
This 999-nucleotide ribosomal RNA is filed under the name uncultured bacterium. Its description in RNAcentral is "bacterial SSU rRNA". It matches the Rfam family "Bacterial small subunit ribosomal RNA", at positions 504 to 1502 of the family's 1533-position model. The record is from RNAcentral.